Molecule: ribosomal RNA, 508 nt
Filed under: uncultured bacterium
Lineage: Bacteria
Description: partial 16S ribosomal RNA
Rfam family: Bacterial small subunit ribosomal RNA
Source: RNAcentral
GAUGAACGCUAGCUACAGGCUUAACACAUGCAAGUCGAGGGGGAACGACAUCGAAAGCUUGCUUUUGAUGGGCGUCGACCGGCGCACGGGUGAGUAACGCGUAUCCAACCUGCCCACCACUUGGGGAUAACCUUGCGAAAGUAUGACUAAUACCCAAUGAUAUCUCUAGAAGACAUCUGAAAGAGAUUAAAGAUUUAUCGGUGAUGGAUGGGGAUGCGUCUGAUUAGCUUGUUGGCGGGGUAACGGCCCACCAAGGCGACGAUCAGUAGGGGUUCUGAGAGGAAGGUCCCCCACAUUGGAACUGAGACACGGUCCAAACUCCUACGGGAGGCAGCAGUGAGGAAUACUGGUCAAUGGGCGAGAGCCUGAACCAGCCAAGUAGCGUGCAGGAUGACGGCCCUAUGGGUUGUAAACUGCUUUUAUAAGGGAAUAAAGUGAGUCUCGUGAGACUUUUUGCAUGUACCUUAUGAAUAAGGACCGGCUAAUUCCGUGCCAGCCGCCGCUGUAA